Molecule: ribosomal RNA, 354 nt
Filed under: uncultured Pseudomonas sp.
Lineage: Bacteria; Pseudomonadati; Pseudomonadota; Gammaproteobacteria; Pseudomonadales; Pseudomonadaceae
Description: bacterial SSU rRNA
Rfam family: Bacterial small subunit ribosomal RNA
Source: RNAcentral
UCUGACACAGGUGCUGCAUGGCUGUCGUCAGCUCGGUGUCGUGAGAUGUUGGGUUAAGUCCGUAACGAGCGCAACCCUUGUCCUUAGUUACCAGCACGUUAUGGUGGGCACUCUAAGGAGACUGCCGGUGACAACCGGAGGAAGGUGGGGAUGACGUCAAGUCAUCAUGGCCCUUACGGCCUGGGCUACACACGUGCUACAAUGGUCGGUACAAAGGGUUGCCAAGCCGCGAGGUGGAGCUAAUCCCAUAAAACCGAUCGUAGUCCGGAUCGCAGUCUGCAACUCGACUGCGUGAAGUCGGAAUCGCUAGUAAUCGUGAAUCAGAAUGUCACGGUGAAUACGUUCCCGGGCCUU